This 564-nucleotide ribosomal RNA is filed under the name uncultured bacterium. Its description in RNAcentral is "bacterial SSU rRNA". It matches the Rfam family "Bacterial small subunit ribosomal RNA", at positions 363 to 917 of the family's 1533-position model. The record is from RNAcentral.
UUUGCGCAUGGAGGAAACUCUGNGCAGCGACGCCGCGUGGGUGAUGAAGGCCUUCGGGUCGUAAAGCCCUGUCGGAGGGGAAGAAAAGCUUGCUGGCUAAUAUCCAGCAGGCCUUUGACGGUACCCUCAAAGGAAGCACCGGCUAACUCCGUGCCAGCAGCCGCGGUAAGAUGGAGGGUGCGAGCGUUGUUCGGAUUGACUGGGCGUAAAGGGCGUGUAGGCGGUUGGUCAAGUCUGGUGUGAAAGCCCGGGGCUUAGCCCCGGAAGUGCGCUGGAAACUAGCCAACUUGAGCGCGAUAGAGGAGGGUGGAAUUCCUGGUGUAGCGGUGAAAUGCGUAGAUAUCAGGAGGAACGCCGGCGGCGAAGGCGGCCCUCUGGGUCGUUGCUGACGCUGAGACGCGAAAGCGUGGGGAGCAAACAGGAUUAGAUACCCUGGUAGUCCACGCUGUAAACUAUGGGUACUAGGUGUUCGGGGUGUUGACCCCCUGAGUGCCGGCGCUAACGCAUUAAGUACCCCGCCUGGGGACUACGGCCGCAAGGCUAAAACUCAAAGAAAUUGACGGA